AACGAACGCUGGCGGCAUGCCUAACACAUGCAAGUCGAACGAGACCUUCGGGUCUAGUGGCGCACGGGUGCGUAACGCGUGGGAACCUGCCCUUAGGUUCGGAAUAACUCCCCGAAAGGGGUGCUAAUACCGGAUAAUGUCUUCGGACCAAAGAUUUAUCGCCUUUGGAUGGGCCCGCGUUGGAUUAGCUAGUUGGUAGGGUAAAAGCCUCCAAGGCGACGAUCCAUAGCUGGUCUGAGAGGAUGAUCAGCCACACUGGGACUGAGACACGGCCCAGACUCCUACGGGAAGCAGCAGUGGGGAAUAUUGGACAAUGGGCGAAAGCCUGAUCCAGCAAUGCCGCGUGAGUGAUGAAGGCCUUAGGGUUGUAAAGCUCUUUUACCCGGGAUGAUAAUGACAGUACCGGGAGAAUAAGCUCCGGCUAACUCCGUG
Molecule: ribosomal RNA, 432 nt
Filed under: uncultured bacterium
Lineage: Bacteria
Description: partial 16S ribosomal RNA
Rfam family: Bacterial small subunit ribosomal RNA
Source: RNAcentral